Molecule: ribosomal RNA, 481 nt
Filed under: uncultured bacterium
Lineage: Bacteria
Description: partial 16S ribosomal RNA
Rfam family: Bacterial small subunit ribosomal RNA
Source: RNAcentral
GACGAACGCUGGCGGCGUGCUUAACACAUGCAAGUCGAACGGAAAGGCCCUGCUUGCAGGGUACUCGAGUGGCGAACGGGUGAGUAACACGUGGGUGAUCUGCCCUGCACUUCGGGAUAAGCCUGGGAAACUGGGUCUAAUACCGGAUAGGAGCCAUUUUUAGUGUGAUGGUUGGAAAGUUUUUUCGGUGUAGGAUGAGCUCGCGGCCUAUCAGCUUGUUGGUGGGGUAAUGGCCUACCAAGGCGGCGACGGGUAGCCGGCCUGAGAGGGUGGACGGCCACAUUGGGACUGAGAUACGGCCCAGACUCCUACGGGAGGCAGCAGUGGGGAAUAUUGCACAAUGGGCGCAAGCCUGAUGCAGCGACGCCGCGUGGGGGAUGACGGCCUUCGGGUUGUAAACUCCUUUCGCUAGGGACGAAGCCUUUUGUGACGGUACCUAGAUAAGAAGCACCGGCUAACUACGUGCCAGCCGCCGCAGUAA